AUUAGUUAUGUUCUUUAAACCCAAAGAAUUUGGGCGGUAUUUUAGUCUUUCCAGAGGAACCUGUUCUGUAAUUGAUAUUACACGAUUUUAUUCACUUAUAUUUGUGUUCAAUUUUUAUACCUCCGUCAUAAGAAUAUUUUUAUAGAAUCAAUUUUCUUAAUUAUUCAAUGUAAAGAUGUCAGGUCAAGGUGAAGUUAAUAUAUAAGUAGAAAUGGGUUACAAUAAAUUUAUUUAUAUGGAUUUUUAAUUUUGUUUUUAUUAUGAAGGUGGAUUUGGUUGUAAAUUAAUUUAUUUAAUUUAUUGAUUUUGGCUCUAAAAUAUGCACAGAUCGCCCGUCGC
This 339-nucleotide ribosomal RNA is filed under the name Nehalennia irene. RNAcentral's name for it is "partial 12S ribosomal RNA". The record is from RNAcentral. Lineage: Eukaryota; Metazoa; Arthropoda; Insecta; Odonata; Coenagrionidae.